UGAGAGAGGGCAUCCUUGUCUUGUACCGGUUUUCAAAGGGAAUGCUUCCAGCUUUCACACAUUCAGUAUGAUAUUGGCUGUGGGGUUAUCAUAAAUAGGUCUUAUUAUUUUGAGAUAUGUUCCAACAACACUUAGUUUAUCGAGAGUUUUUAGCAUGAAGCAGUGCUGAAUUUUAUCAAAGGCCUUUUCUGCAUCUGUUGAGAUAACCAUGUGGUUUUUGUCAUUGGUUCUAUUUAUGUGAUGGAUUACGUUUAUUGAUUUGUGUAUAUUAAACCAGCCUUGCAUACCAGGGAUGAAUCCAACUUGAUCAUGGUGGAUAAAGUUUUUGAUGUUCUGUUGGAUUCAGUUUGCCAGAAUUUUAUUGAAGAUUUUCACAUUGAUGCUCAUCAGGGACAUCGGCCUGAAAUUUUCUUUUUUGGUUGUGUCUCUGACAGGUUUUGGUAUCAGGAUGAUGCUGGCCUCAUAAAAUGAGUUAGGGAGGAGUCCUCUUUUUCUACUGUUUGGAAUAGUUUCAGAAGGAAUGGUACCCCCUCCUCUUUGUACUUCUGCUACGAAUUUGGAUGUGAAUCUGCCUGGUCCUGGACAUUUUUGAUUGGUAGGCUAUUUAUUACUGCCUCAGUUUCAGAACUUGUUAUUGGUCUAUUCAGGGAUUCGACUUCUUCCUUGUUUAGUCUUGGGAGGGUGUAUGUGUCCAGGAAUUCAUCCAUUUCUUCUAGAUUUUCUAGUUUAUUUGCAUAGAGGUGUUUAUAGUAUUCUCUGAUGGUAGUUUGUAUUUCUGUGGGAUCAGUGGUGAUAUCCCCUUUAUCAUUUUUUAUUGUGUCUAUUUGAUUCUUCUCUCUUUUCUUCCUUAUUUGUCUGGCUAGCAGUCUAUCUAUUUUGGUAAUCUUUUCACAACUCAGCUCCUGGAUUCACUGAAGAGAGACGGGGCCAAUAUUCAACAUUCUUAAAUAAUUUUCAACCCAGAAUUUCAUAUCCAGCCAAACUAAGCUUCAAAAGUGAAGGAGAAAUAAAAUCCUUUACAGGCAAGCAAAUGCUGAGAGAUUCUGUCACCACCAGGCUUACCUUACAAGAGCUCCUGAAGGAAGCACUAAACAUGGAAAGGAACAACUGGUACCAGCAACUACAAAAACAUACCAAAUUGUUACAACCAUCAACACUAUGAAGAAACUGCAUCAACUAAUGGGCAAAAUAAUCAGCCAACAUCCAAAUAACAGGAUAUAAUUCAAACAUAACAAUAUUAACCUUAAAUGUAAAUGGGCUAAAUGCCCCAAUUAAAAGACACAGACUGGCAAAUUGGAUAAAGAGUUAAGACCCAUCGGUGUGCUGUAUUCAGGAGACCCAUCUCACAUGCAAAGGUGCACAUGGCUCAAAAUAAAGGGAUGGAGGAAUAUUUACCAAGCAAAUGGAAAGCAAAAAAAAAAAAAAAAAAAAAAAAA
This 1436-nucleotide long non-coding RNA is filed under the name Macaca fascicularis (crab-eating macaque). RNAcentral's name for it is "lncRNA (ENSMFAG00000047616.1)". The record is from RNAcentral. Lineage: Eukaryota; Metazoa; Chordata; Mammalia; Primates; Cercopithecidae.